UUGUUGUUGUCAUCGUUGUUGUUGUUGUUUUUGUUGUUGUUGUUGUUGUUGUUGUUGUUGUUGUUGUUGUCGUCGUCGUCUUUGUUGUUGUUGCUGUUGUUGUUGUUGUUGUUGUUGUUAUUUUCGUUGUUGUUGUUGUUGUUGUUGUUGUCGCUGUUGUCGUUAAUGUCGUUGUUGUCAUUGUUGUUGUUGUUAUCGUUCUUUUCAUUCUUCUCGUCAUUGUCGUUGUUGUCGUCGUUGUUGUCGUCGUCAUCCUUGUGUUUUUUGUUGUUG
This 273-nucleotide long non-coding RNA is filed under the name Hordeum vulgare. RNAcentral describes it as "long non-coding RNA (HVUL_LNC020971)". The record is from RNAcentral. Lineage: Eukaryota; Viridiplantae; Streptophyta; Magnoliopsida; Poales; Poaceae.